AAGGGUAUAGCUCAUACGGUAGAGUGCAUGCUUAGCAUGCAGGAGGUCCUGGGUUCAAUCCCCAGUACCUCCA
Molecule: transfer RNA, 73 nt
Organism: Camelus ferus (Wild Bactrian camel)
Lineage: Eukaryota; Metazoa; Chordata; Mammalia; Artiodactyla; Camelidae
Rfam family: tRNA
About the family: Transfer RNA (tRNA) molecules are approximately 80 nucleotides in length. Their secondary structure includes four short double-helical elements and three loops (D, anti-codon, and T loops). Further hydrogen bonds mediate the characteristic L-shaped molecular structure. tRNAs have two regions of fundamental functional importance: the anti-codon, which is responsible for specific mRNA codon recognition, and the 3' end, to which the tRNAs corresponding amino acid is attached (by aminoacyl-tRNA synthetases). tRNAs cope with the degeneracy of the genetic code in two manners: having more than one tRNA (with a specific anti-codon) for a particular amino acid; and 'wobble' base-pairing, i.e. permitting non-standard base-pairing at the 3rd anti-codon position.
Source: Rfam